This 253-nucleotide ribosomal RNA is filed under the name uncultured bacterium. RNAcentral describes it as "partial 16S ribosomal RNA". It matches the Rfam family "Bacterial small subunit ribosomal RNA", at positions 524 to 776 of the family's 1533-position model. The record is from RNAcentral.
UACGUAGGGGGCGAGCGUUGUCCGGAAUCAUUGGGCGUAAAGCGCGCGUAGGCGGCCCGGUAAGUCCGCUCUGAAAGUCCAGGGCUCAACCCUGGAAAGCGGGUGGAUACUGCCGGGCUAGAAUCCGGAAGAGGCGAGUGGAAUUCCUGGUGUAGCGGUGGAAUGCGCAGAUAUCAGGAGGAACACCAAUUGCGAAGGCAGCUCGCUGGGACGUUACUGACGCUGAGACGCGAAAGCGUGGGGAGCAAACAGG